ACCUGAUGUUGCAUGUGUUUUGGAAACUUUAAUUCUGAGGAUGAAUGCUGAGUCCAAAACAUGUAGAAAAUAUUGAGAAAUGUCUUGGGAAAUCAUCAUUUGUGUUUGAAGCUAAGCUGGCAAAGGAAGCAAUCAGUAUGAAAGAAAAUGUAUGCAAGGAAAAUGAAUGAGUCUGUUUCUAGUAAUGUGUAUCUCAACCAGCUCCACUUAUCAUCAAGAUUUUAACGUUUUUGUUUAUUCAGUGUUAGCAUUGUGCAUGAUAGUCCUGCCUCUCUGCAUUCCCUCUGUUCACCUGAUCUUGCAGUUGAGAUACUCAGACCUCAAACUAAGUUCCCACUGAAGGUGUUCUCUCUUACAUGCUUCAGGGUUGUUUCUCAAGGGACCAGAACUGGAAAUUCUGCAGUGCAGAAGGAAAGAAGAAUACAAGGGCAACCCUUCAACAACAGGGGUGAAGGCUGGUGGACGACUGCCCCAAGCUUUCUGCCCUACACAGGACAGGUCCAGGGGUUCACCCAUGUGGUUUCUCAGAGACUUCCCCACAGGAAUGAGCCCCGAGUGCACACAGCAAUACCUCAUUCAGCAACACAGCCUUUAGGAGGCGGCUUCUCUCCCUUCUCUUUUCCUGCUUCCCAUGUUACUAGUUUGAGUUCCCCCAAAGAUUCAGAUAAUCAGGGCACUAAUACAAAAUGAAGGGAAUUUAUAGAAAAUAUAUGGAAUAAAUUCUGCCACAAAAAAAUUAGUUGUUCAAGCGUAGUGUGAAGCAUAAUUUAUUUCAAUAUUUCAUUAUCAUGCAUAGGAUAUAUCACUAAUCCAGGAAUUAAAAUCAACUUAUUUAUUUCUAAUCUCCAGAAAUUUAUUAAUGACCCUUAUGUAUUGUAUGUCUUGCAGGUGCUAUAGUGGUUAUGCAGGACUCAGGUGCCAGCCCCUAAGGAAUAUGACCUGGAAUAUGGUGUGUCCAAAAAUACUAUCUUUGAUAGCUAAAAUGUCCAUGAGGAAAUCAUGGGAAACCCUUCUGAAUGGAGCAGGCGUGAAUCGGACGACCUACUGGGAGAACAAGGUCGCCCACCGCACGGAAGCAAAGUCGCGGGACCCAGCCGCAGAAGCCCCAGGGUCUGCGCGACAGUGCUCCAAGGAGAGUGCACGCCACACAGAAAACAGCGGGGAGACUUGAGACGCUCAGGGCUCCGAGUCCACACAUCAGCGCUGGAAGGGGAGGUGAGCUCAAUAACCCGAGACAUUGGUGGGGAAACGGGGGUCAGAAUCUAGAGGGGGGCCGGAAAGUGCAGCAAACUCACUACCGGAAAGAAGGAAAAAAAAAAGCUUUGGGGUUUCUCUUCCCCCUAACCUUGCAAAGGUUACAAGCCUGCAAGACUUGAAGAAUUCCCAAGAGACAAAGAGCAGGCCUCCUCUUUGGAUUUACAUAUCAGUGGGGGAGAGUUAAGGAACUGAGUCACUACAAUUCAGUAGCCUAGGCAACCCAGUGGGAGUCCAGAGGAGCCAAAGACUGGAAGCUAAAUACCAUCAAUUCUGCACAGCCCUGCCCUGCAGUGUUACUUACCCCCUGAAUAAAUAAAAUAAAUAAAUAAAUAAAAAGAGAGAG
RNAcentral lists this long non-coding RNA (1600 nucleotides) under Oryctolagus cuniculus (rabbit). Its description in RNAcentral is "lncRNA (ENSOCUG00000032024.1)". Lineage: Eukaryota; Metazoa; Chordata; Mammalia; Lagomorpha; Leporidae. The record is from RNAcentral.